Long non-coding RNA from Lathyrus oleraceus (garden pea), 828 nucleotides. RefSeq lists it as uncharacterized. NCBI's taxonomy places the organism in Eukaryota, Viridiplantae, Streptophyta, Magnoliopsida, Fabales, Fabaceae. The transcript is spliced from 3 exons. The record is from RefSeq and is a predicted model, not a curated record.
AGGUUCCUCUGUGUUCUCUCUCAUCACUCUCAUCUUCGACAGAAAUAUAUUUAGGGAACUACUUGUAAACAUGGUUGUUAUGUAUGUUGGAUAUCAUGGACCUGAAGGCUCUAAAGCCAUUGGACAAAGGGUUUAUAACAAAGUAAGCAUAUGGUUGGAUUAUGUUAUUACUUUAUAUUGCUAACUUGGUUUUUCAACUUUGAUUUUCUUACUUAUUUCAAAAGAAUCCCAACUGAUUCAACUUAAUGAUCGAUUUCAUCUUCUAUUUUUCUUGGGCUCAAUGAGAUGUAUUGUAAUGGGGGUUCUUAGUCCUUAAGAUGUUGUUCAGUCUUUUUCCCUUUGAUUUCACUAUUGGGUCAUAUGAACUAGAACUGCUUAGAUACAAUAACCUUUUCAUGUACAUAAAUGGUGUGAAGCUUGUGUUCUGCUUGAUGGAUUCAAUUGAGGUUUGCCUAAACUGGGAAUUCGACAGAGUCGGGUUGAAGUUGAUUGCAAGAAAGAAAAUGAAAUCAAUGGAAGAAAAAGCAUUGAGAGCAAACAAUAUGGAUUGUUAGACUUUUGUUUUUCUGUGUAGGCGUCAUUAUAAAUCAAUGGAUUCUAAUGAUAAUCAAAGGAUGCACUACAUUGACCAUGGCAUCAUAUAUUACCAGGUGAUUCUUCAAUGGUAUCUACUAGAUGUGACAAUACUUCACAGCUGGAUAUGGCUAUGUGGCAUAAAUAUUUAGCUUUUACCAAUGUUCACAUUUAUAGAAAAUCACAAAAUGAAUACAUCUUGUCUUACUGUCAUAUAGGUUUUGAGAUUUCAACUAACAUUUUAUGUCUGAGUCA